RNAcentral lists this non-coding RNA (45 nucleotides) under Schistosoma margrebowiei. The record is from RNAcentral. Lineage: Eukaryota; Metazoa; Platyhelminthes; Trematoda; Strigeidida; Schistosomatidae.
AUCCAGCUGACAUGUCCCAAAUAGGAUGAAACGCGUGUCCUAUAU